UUAGUACCGCAGCUAACGCGUGAAGUUGACCGCCUGGGGAGUACGGCCGCAAGGCUAAAACUCAAAGGAAUUGACGGGGACCCGCACAAGCGGUGGAUUAUGUGGAUUAAUUCGAUGCAACGCGAAAAACCUUACCUACCCUUGACAUGUGCGGAACGGGACAGAGAUGUCUUGGUGCCCGAAAGGGAACCGCAACACAGGUGCUGCAUGGCUGUCGUCAGCUCGUGUCGUGAGAUGUUGGGUUAAGUCCCGCAACGAGCGCAACCCUUGCCAUUAGUUGCUACAUUCAGUUGGGCACUCUAAUGGGACUGCCGGUGACAAACCGGAGGAAGGUGGGGAUGACGUUAGAGAGUACGUCC
RNAcentral lists this unclassified non-coding RNA (359 nucleotides) under uncultured Gammaproteobacteria bacterium. RNAcentral describes it as "contains 16S-23S intergenic spacer region". It matches the Rfam family "Bacterial small subunit ribosomal RNA", at positions 840 to 1200 of the family's 1533-position model. Lineage: Bacteria; Pseudomonadati; Pseudomonadota; Gammaproteobacteria. The record is from RNAcentral.